GCCUCCGUGGCGCAAUUGGUUAGCGCGUUCGGCUGUUAACCGAAAGGUUGGUGGUUCGAUUCCACCCGGUGGCG
Sitodiplosis mosellana (orange wheat blossom midge) is the source of this 74-nucleotide non-coding RNA. The record is from the annotation of a RefSeq genome assembly. Lineage: Eukaryota; Metazoa; Arthropoda; Insecta; Diptera; Cecidomyiidae.